This 88-nucleotide transfer RNA is filed under the name Polynucleobacter tropicus. Its description in RNAcentral is "Polynucleobacter sp. MWH-UH21B tRNA-Ser". It matches the Rfam family "tRNA". From Rfam's summary of the family: Transfer RNA (tRNA) molecules are approximately 80 nucleotides in length. Lineage: Bacteria; Pseudomonadati; Pseudomonadota; Betaproteobacteria; Burkholderiales; Burkholderiaceae. RNAcentral also lists the same sequence under 4 other names. The record is from RNAcentral.
GGAAGAGUGGCAGAGCGGUUGAAUGCACCAGUCUUGAAAACUGGCGACUGUAAUAGGUCCGUGAGUUCGAAUCUCACCUCUUCCGCCA